Molecule: ribosomal RNA, 564 nt
Filed under: Anopheles hyrcanus group sp. LL1
Lineage: Eukaryota; Metazoa; Arthropoda; Insecta; Diptera; Culicidae
Description: eukaryotic LSU rRNA
Rfam family: 5.8S ribosomal RNA (bases 1-93)
Source: RNAcentral
GAAUGUGAACUGCAGGACACAUGAACAUUGAUAAGUUGAACGCAUAUUGCACGUCGUGGGAACCUACCAUGAUGUACACAUACUUGAGUGCUUAUAAUUAGAAGUGGAAAACAGCGGACUACGGAUUGAUUUGGUGCCGGUCACCACGUCAUGAUGUGCAUAAUGAUGUAAGAGGGAUCUCGCCGAUCCGCUUGCAUUGAAGGCUUGUGUUGAAAAACCGUGGAGACGAACAGGUAGCAAGGCUUUUGUGUUCCCGCGAACGGCGGAAGUAUAUACAAGCGUGCGUGCCUGUUGCUGUGCGUAGAUGGAGCAGGUGUCUUCCUCUUCUAUUUUAUUUUUUUAAAAUUGAGGUAAGAUUUCCAACGUUUCUUCGAGAAUAGUGGCAGGCGCAAAUAAUUGACAAUACUGAAGUUUGGACAACGGAACACAACACAAAGUAUGAAAACACUACCCAGAAUUUGUGCGAAGCGGAAAGUAAAUGCAAGCAAAACCAAAGGAACAUUAUCACUUACGAGUGAGGCCACUCGGUGGUCAGAUAAGCCUCAAAUAAUGUGUGACUACCCC